AGUGAAUCUUUUUCAGGAGAGUAGACAGAAGAACAAUUAUACAUUAUAUGGUCUUCGUCAUAUGAUGGACAUGGUGUACUAUUUUGCAGAUUUUAAAGCCAGCCUUCACUGUUUUGGUUGAUCACAAAAUGAAAAGUUUCCUCUUACUAAUUCGUGGAACUCACAGUGUCAAGGACACUUUGACAGCUGUUACUGGUGCAGUGGUACCUUUCCAUCAUACAGUGGUACAUGAUGGAGGAGUCAGCAACUUGGUUUUAGGUUAUGCCCAUUGCGGAAUGGUUGCAGCUGCUAGGUGGAUUGCAAAACUUGCUACUCCUUGUCUAGAGAAAGCCCUUAGCACUCAUCCUGAUUACAAACUUACGGUACCAUACACUGUGUUUUCCACUUGUGCUUCCUUUUGUUUUCUUUAUUUAUGUUCAAUAAUCUGAAUUGUGACAAUGAACUGCUAUCAGAGAUCACCACAUCUACGAGAGUCAUCAUCUUUUAAAUUUGUAGUGCAUAUAGUACAUCUUGAUAUAUUAUAAACAGGAAGAAGGUUUUUUUCUUUGGUGCAUCACUUGUUUUAUCGUUUAUAUAUUUCAUUUCACAAAUCCAUACAUCCUUCGUAGAUUCAAUGCUUUUCUAAAAGUAUUCCAUGUUAAUUUUUAUUUUUUUUGGUUGUGUGUGCUUCAUUUCUAUAUCGUUCUUCAGAUACUGUGUGAGUUCUGAGCAUAGCUAUUUUUUCAAAAAGUUCACAUCCUCGGUGAGGCAUGUGUUUCGUUUCAAAUUAUUUGUCAUGUUCAUGGUUAUAGAUAUUUGUUUCUGUUGUCUACAGAUUGUAGGACAUUCUUUGGGUGGGGGCACUGCUGCACUUUUGACAUAUGUAUUACGUGAACGGAAAGAAAUGUCAACCACAAACUGCGUUGCAUUUGCUCCAGGUUCAUUUAUAUUGUAAUACGAAAUUAAUCCUCUUCAUUUUCCUGUGUAUUCUGAUAAUUGUUUACCUGUGCUUUUGUUAAGAUUUUGCUUUCAUCAGGCAGGAUCUAAUAUUUAGGGGCUUAAUUUUAUUUCUGAUGCUUCUGUUUUUUACUACCUUGAGCAGCUGCUUGUAUGACGUGGGAGUUAGCUGAAUCAGGAGCCGACUUUGUUACUUCCGUGAUAAAUGGAGCAGAUUUGGUGCCUACAUUCUCUGCUGCUUCAGUGGAUGAUUUGCGCACUGAGGUAUUAAUGGAUAUCUUUCAUCAAGUUUCUUUUCAGUCGUUUUUUUCUUUUUGCUUGGCUUGUUGUAAUGUAAUAUGAAGAUACUCUCUUUUUUUGCUUAUGUACUCCUUAUUAUUGGGAUUUUUUUUAUUUUUUUGAUAAUUCUAUGUUAUUCUAGUGUUUUUGAUUAAUUGAAUAUUUGUACUUGAUAAGGCAGGAGGAGCAUCUCUAGUAGAAAUCCAAGUUUGGAAAAAUAUGUGGCUUGUUUUUCUCUGUUAUUAUGUUGAUCACGUCUCUUUAUCAUUGAUUUAACCCUAGUAAAUUGUGGAGCAUCUGCACAGGAAUAUUUGUCUAUGUGGUUGCAUAGUUUAAUAGAACUGCUCACUGAAGAAAGCAGCUUGCUCCACAGCGGGUUCCUACUACUCUUGGGUAAGACGGAUAUCAUGAAUACCUUCCAGGUGGCAUAAUUAUUACACGUUGCUCAUUUUCGUUUGGGUAAUAGUUAAAAAUGGUGGUGCAUGAAGCACCUGUCGUAAAAUGCAAUUCAUUUGAAACCGUGAAAUGGGAGGUGACCCUAAAUCUUAAACAUAAAUCUAUUGUCAUUAUUUAUAUAUGGCAUUAGAUACUAUUAAUAAUUUGUAACUAUUCUUCUCCUCUAUUUGUACACCGUCACUCAUCUCUCAAUUCAUGAUAUAUGAAACCAUCAAGGAGCGUAGCUCAUGGAAAUUGGAGCUCCAUUUUAACAUAUGCCUUGCAUUUACUUCAAGACUAUGGCAAAAACCCAUUUUGCUCCCCUCUUUUGAUGUGAAACCAAGUGGGUUUUAAUUUGUCAGUUCUCACAUACAAAAGGGCAUCAUGAGUAAACUCUGCCUCUUUUCCUCCUUUAUGAGUUUCCAAGAUUGUGCUAGGUGCUUUUAAGUGAAGGAGAAGGCUUAUCGAGAAAAUUCAGGGAAAUUAAAAAAAUGGAAAAACCUUCAGAGAGAGGGAGGUAAUGCAUGGAUGGUUGGCAGACUUAAACAAUUAUAAAAAAUUAUGCCCUCUUAAAAGGCAGGGUGUUCCAGAAGUAAGAGGAAAAAGUAAAAACUUGUAUUAAUUCUUUGGCCGACUGGUAUUGGACGGUUUUGACUUUUUGGUGACCUGUAUGGAUAUGAAUAUAACUUGGAUGGAAAGGUGGCUGGGUCUUGAUCCUAGCGUUGGAUCGGCCAACUCUGGUAGCAUUUGCUACAAGUUGAUGUUUGCAAAAGUUUUCUUCCUCCAGAAGGAGCAGGCUGGGAAGUAUUGCCCUAAGAGGACUUCAUAUGUCUACAGGGGCCAUAAUAGGUGCAGGCCCUGUCCAAUCAUAUUCGUAUAUUUUUAGUACUCAGCACAAUAUGUUAAAGAAGCGUGACAUGCUAGAUUUGGGUUGGGCAUGUAUCUUUUAGAAGCUAAAAUAUGUGGUGACUAUGAGUAUUUCACUGUCUUCAAUCAGAAAUGUGUUUCCCUUGUUUUAGUUUCGCUAGAUAUUUGGCACGAUCCCACCUUUGCGAUUGGGAUUGAAUUUUUGGUUUUUAAGUAUUUGGGUUCUACUUCAUGCUUUAUAUCCAAUGUUGAAUGAUUUUCCGUGAGUGACAUUGCAAUCUGCCAGCAAAUAUAUUUCAAGGUGUCACAUAAUAUCACAUUCUCGAGAUAUGCAUAAAUAUGACCAUCAAAGCUUGAUGUCCUUAUGUUGAUUAUUUCCUAUAUUAUUACAUAUAAUUUUAUUUGAUAUAUUUUUGUAGUUAAUGUUUUUUCUCAACUUUUUGCAGGUUACGGCUUCUGCUUGGUUGAAUGACCUGAGGAAUCAGAUUGAACGCACCAGGGUUCUGAGCACAGUUUAUCGCUCUGCUUCAGCUUUGGGUUCUCGACUUCCAUCCAUGGCCAGUGCUAAAGCCAAAGUUGCUGGUGCUGGUGCAAUAUUACGUCCAGUUUCCAGCGGUACUCAGGUAUGUAUAUUGCGGUCAUGCAAUCAGUUCUGCUUUGGAUUGUUGUGGCAAGGGAAAAUAGCAGCUGAGGUGCCCCAACCUUUGAUGUGUUGCACUUUGGUCUGUAACCUCUAAUAUGAAGCAUUUUUGUCCCAAGGUUUCAUUUUAGUUUUAGUAGCACAUGGUCCUCAGGUCGACAACUUUACCCAUAUUUUUAGUCAACAAGUCAAAAUUUUAUUAAAAAAGACGAUUUCACCCUUAUUUUAUGUAGACAAAAAAUGAAAUAAAUAACCAAAGAAACAAUUAGGAAUAAAAGAGAAGGCAAAGGAAAAAUGGGAAAAAAACAAAGAGAACAAUUUGGGUUCUCUUCUCCAGUCGGUCACCCCACCACCAUACCACCCUCCUCUAAUCUCCAUUUGCCACCAGUGACCAGCCAACCAUACUUGUAGAGACAUAAACCAGCUGCAACCAACAACCUUCAAAACUGAACCCUCAGAACCCCCAAGUCUAGUCUGUAUUCAACCACCCAAAGAAAUAAAACUGCGAGAGAGAUUGUUCAAUAUGUUUAUAGCAACACAGAAAAAAAAAUGCUAGUUUAAGCAUGUCUCCAUAAAUUUUAGGUAAAAAUUGUACUUGUGAAUUUUUUCUUUCUUUCUCCUUGUCUCUGUUAAAUGAAAAAUGAAGGAAUACUCUAGUAACAUUCAUUUUAAUUUUAUACUAAAUUUCUUGUACGGUCUAAUCCGGUUCGCCAAACACACCCUUGACGGUUUUGCUUUAUGCACUAGAAGUACAUCUCUGAUUGACACUGUGAUAUGGGUUUGAGAAUAUGACCCUAGAGGCUGUCCAUUUUGCCUUCCCUAUCAGUACCACUAACAAAAUACUGGGAGCUUCAUAAUGUGAGGGGUGGUAUUACCUUUAACCAUAUGUGCCUAUGUAUACUUUUUGAUCUUUAUAAUUCCAGAUGUAUUUAGUUCUAUUAUAUAGGACUGAUGUUGUUGUGUUAACUAGGUUGUUAUGAAGAGAGCACAAAGCAUGGCUCAGGCAGCUUGGUCACGCCCUUACCUACGCUCAUGGUCAUGCAUAGGUCCACGUCGUCGAUCCUCAAUUGCUCAGAUAAAUUAUAAUGAAGGAGAAGACUCAUCAGGAUCUUCUUCAACUCAAAGAGAAACUUCGGAGCCUUUUCUCACGACCACUGAAGAGACAAGAACGGCUAUUGAAAAUAUGGAACUUCCUGUAUCUUCUUCUGAUGGAAUGGUUGAGAGUUCAGACAACUUUAUAGAUGAGGUUGGUGUCUCAGAUAGUAUGGCUACUAAGGAUGAUGAUGACGAGGUUGCGUAUGAUGUAAGGCAUGAAGAUCACACAAUGGAAAUAGAGUUGUGGGAACAACUCGAGCUCAAGCUUAAUGAGCAAGCUGAUAGUGGUGAAGCCGAUGUGGCCAAGGAAAUUAGGGAAGAAGAAGAAGCAGCCAUUGCAGAAGUAAGUGACAGCCAGACCCAAAGCUCUAUCCCAGAUGCCAAGGAGGUGCAUAGAUUUUUCCCUCCGGGAAAGAUAAUGCAUAUUGUGACACUAACAUCCGACGAAGUGGGCCGUGAGAGUGAUAGCAGUAUUUCCAAUGACGGGGACCAAAGCCAGCCGGAGGAAGAGGCGAAGGUUGGAAUUUUUCUCACUCCCAGGUCAUUGUAUAGUAAAUUAAGGCUAUCGCAUACCAUGAUAAACGACCAUUUUAUGCCGGCUUAUAGAAGACGAAUUGAAAAGCUGAUUAAAGAACUUGAGAAUGAAGUGACUUCUGAUACACACAAUUGUAGCUGAGAAAUUGAACAGGAAGUGCUGUAAACUGUUGGUAGUGAAUUUUGGUCGCAUCUUAAGUGUUAGCAUCAAGAGGACUACACAUAUCCUUAAAGGUGACGUCUUUAACCACAAUUCUUUGUUCUGAAAAUGAUUUUGACAUGUGCAUAGGCUUAAAGAGUUUUCAUUUCCAUUGAUAGUGAGAGUCCCUUUCGCAAUCAUGAAUUCUAUAUUACAUCAUUAAAAGCAUUAUUUUCUUUGGUCCAUCGUCUAUUAUAAAUACACCAAUCACCAUAUGAAUGAGAAAAUGUUGCCUAACUUAUUUAACAAUUUUAAUGCCCACUUGACUCUUUGCACCACUUUGAAUCUCUAAAUCAUUUCAUUUAAUUCUUAAUUUGCUUUGAAAAGACAUUCUCUUUUUCUUGGCCACCCAUAAUUUGCACGUAAUGAUCCUACAAUCGCUAGUGUGUACGCACGAAUAUAUUCAAGUUUAUACACGAGGACGAGGAAGGUAAACGUGAAAGAAUGUGUUACAAGAGACGCAUAAGAAGUCGACUAGAAGUUCGUACACCUCCAAAUUUGUUUCUUGAUUCUAUUUUGAUCUUAUUCGCAAAAGACCAACAAUAAGAUUCAUUCUAGUUUAUCAAAAUCCAAGAAAAAUUUAAAAUGGAUAUGAAGUAGAAGAGGCAAAAGUCGGAGCAAAAAUGGCCUUUGAUUUGUCCAUGCAUUUAUUUCUUAGAAUGGGCAUGCAAAGUCUACCAUAGUUUGGGGCAAAAUUAAAUGAGGUAGAUAUAAAUUAAUGAGAAUGUGAAAGAAACCUAACAUUGCAUCAAACGAUUUCUUCUUUGCAUAAUAAAAAAGAAUGAUUUUCUUUCUUUUUUUUUUAUUAUUAUUUUAGUGUAAAAAAUGAAUAAAAGUUUUUAGUUUCACAUUUGGAUAGUCCUGAAAUCUAGCUGGAAAAUGAAAAUAACACGUCUGAGUGGAACACGUGGCAACAAACCAUUGAUUGAUACGGCAUAAAGAAAGCAACAUAAUCCUUCUUCUUUAUAUACGCAGAUAACACGGAGUCGACGAAUAACAGUAAUAUACAAAUUACUUCAUACCAGCGACUGUUUACGUGUACUCUACCUCCAUUAAUCGAUCUCUCUUUUUAAAAUUUAUUUGAUUUGAUUUGAUUGAUUCACAUUCAUAUUCAAAAAUCUCUCUAUACCAAAUCAUCGUAUCCAGUUUUCUGAAAUGUCUUUCAUGCACACGUUCUUCGUUCCUGAGGAAGCCAAGGUGGGCGACUGGGAGAAGGAAAGAUAAGAAAACCCAAAUUAAACAGGAUUUACUUGUAGAUAUCCCUCUUGAUCAGGUAAUUUCUUGGCAGAAUUCUGUUUUUUAUUUCAUGAAAAACCCAUGUUUAGAUUCAUCAUGUUUGUGUGAAUUUGUGGUUUUUCAGGCAUGUCGACGAGUGUAUUCGGUGAUUCGAUGGUGAAAAUUACAGGACAAAAUGAGCUUGAUUUUGUCGAAUGCGAUUGCUGUGGAUUGACAGAGGAAUGCACCCUGUCCUACAUAGAGACAGUACGCGAGCGUUAUAAGGGAAAAUGGAUUUGUGGGCUCUGUUCCGAGGCCGUAAACGAUGAAGUUAAGCAAAAAUCAAUAAGCCCAGAAGAGGCCAUGGCUCGCCAUUUCAGCUUCUGCUACAAAUUUAGGUUGGCUGGGCCACCGCCGGACCCAACCCGGCAUUUGAUCACCGCCAUGAGACAGGUUUUAAGAAAAAGCUUAGACAGUCCCAAGUUCAUAAGGUCGAUGCCAAGUAGUCCCACGAAGAACAGGGGAGAUAUUAGCAUGGGGCUUACUCGAUCGGAGAGCUGUAUUCCGAGUCUGUCUGAAUCGGUUUGUUGUGGAAUUGAUGAAGAUUGUGAAUAACCAGUAAAUUCAAAGUUUCACUGUGUAUAAACAAGAAACCAAUGAAGUUUAACUCAAAAAGUGCUUAAUUCAGAUGUAUCAAUAUCAUCAAUCAUGUUAAGAAAUGAAAAUGGAAAUAAAAAUUACUUGCCUAUAAUUUGUGUCUGGUGUUUUCUUUCAAUUAUGUGGUUAACAAUAAUUGAGAUUCAUAUUCAGAUUUUAUAAUGAUAGGCUAUUGUCAUGUCUGUAUCUUGACGCGAAUCGAAUUGAAUACAAGCAAGCAAUUUG
RNAcentral lists this long non-coding RNA (7082 nucleotides) under Olea europaea subsp. europaea. The record is from RNAcentral. Lineage: Eukaryota; Viridiplantae; Streptophyta; Magnoliopsida; Lamiales; Oleaceae.